This 186-nucleotide ribosomal RNA is filed under the name uncultured Staphylococcus sp. Its description in RNAcentral is "partial 16S ribosomal RNA". It matches the Rfam family "Bacterial small subunit ribosomal RNA", at positions 154 to 334 of the family's 1533-position model. Lineage: Bacteria; Bacillati; Bacillota; Bacilli; Caryophanales; Staphylococcaceae. The record is from RNAcentral.
AAACCGGAGCUAAUACCGGAUAAUAUAUUGAACCGCAUGGUUCAAUAGUGAAAGACGGUUUUGCUGUCACUUAUAGAUGGAUCCGCGCCGCAUUAGCUAGUCGGUAAGGUAAUGGCUUACCAAGGCAACGAUGGGUAGCCGACCUGAGAGGGUGAUCGGCCACACUGGAACUGAGACACGGUCCAG